CCUACGGGAGGCAGCAGUGGGGAAUAUUGCACAAUGGGGGAAACCCUGAUGCAGCGACGCCGCGUGAGUGAAGAAGUAAUUCGUUACGUAAAGCUCUAUCAGCAGGGAAGCAACACUGACCUUACGGUCAGCAGACGGUACCUGAGUAAGAAGCCCCGGCUAACUACGCGCCAGCAGCCGCGGUAAUACGUAGGGGGCAAGCGUUAUCCGGAUUUACUGGGUGUAAAGGGAGCGUAGGCGGUGCGCCAAGUCUGGAGUGAAAUGCCGCAGCUUAACUGCGGAACUGCAUUGGAAACUGGCGAACGAGAGUGCGGGAGGGGUAAGCGGAAUUCCGAGUGUAGCAGUGAAAUGCGUAGAUAUUAGGAGGAACACCGGUGGCGAAGGCGGCUUACUGGACCGUAACUGACGUUGAGGCUCGAAGGCGUGGGGAGCAAACAGGAUUAGAUACCCUAGUAGUC
This 458-nucleotide ribosomal RNA is filed under the name uncultured bacterium. Its description in RNAcentral is "partial 16S ribosomal RNA". It matches the Rfam family "Bacterial small subunit ribosomal RNA", at positions 338 to 795 of the family's 1533-position model. The record is from RNAcentral.